AGUGAACGCUGGCGGUAGGCCUAACACAUGCAAGUCGAACGGCAGCACAGUAAGAGCUUGCUCUUACGGGUGGCGAGUGGCGGACGGGUGAGGAAUACAUCGGAAUCUACUUUUUCGUGGGGGAUAACGUAGGGAAACUUACGCUAAUACCGCAUACGACCUACGGGUGAGAGCAGGGGAUCUUCGGACCUUGCGCGAUUGAAUGAGCCGAUGUCGGAUUAGCUAGUUGGCGGGGUAAAGGCCCACCAAGGCGACGAUCCGUAGCUGGUCUGAGAGGAUGAUCAGCCACACUGGAACUGAGACACGGUCCAGACUCCUACGGGAGGCAGCAGUGGGGAAUAUUGGACAAUGGGCGCAAGCCUGAUCCGGCCAUACCGCGUGGGUGAAGAAGGCCUUCGGGUUGUAAAGCCCUUUUGUUGGGAAAGAAAAGCAGCAGGUUAAUACCCCGCUGUUCUGACGGUACCCAAAGAAUAAGCACCGGCUAACUUCGUG
Molecule: ribosomal RNA, 492 nt
Filed under: uncultured bacterium
Lineage: Bacteria
Description: partial 16S ribosomal RNA
Rfam family: Bacterial small subunit ribosomal RNA
Source: RNAcentral